Molecule: non-coding RNA, 299 nt
Organism: Homo sapiens (human)
Lineage: Eukaryota; Metazoa; Chordata; Mammalia; Primates; Hominidae
Rfam family: Metazoan signal recognition particle RNA
About the family: The signal recognition particle (SRP) is a universally conserved ribonucleoprotein. It is involved in the co-translational targeting of proteins to membranes.
Source: Rfam
GCUGGGUAUGGUGAUGCAUGUUUGUACUCCCAGCUACUCAGGAGGCUUGGGUAGGAGGAUCACUUGAGUCCAGGAGUUCUGGGCUAUAGCAAUCUAUGCUGAUCAAGUGUCCACACUAAUUUCAACAUCAACAGGGUGACCCUCCAGGAGCGGGGGACCACCAAGUUGCCUAAGGAGUGAACUAGCCCAGGUCUGAAACAGAGCAGGUCAAAACUCCUGUGCUGAUUUUAGUAGUAGGAUCACUCCUGUCAAUAACCACUACACCCUGGCCUGAGCAACAUAGUGAGACCCUGUCUCUU